UGCUGUGGUGCUGUUGGCGUAGUGUUUCCAGACUACUGUUGUAGUAAUGUUGCAGCACUGUUGUGGUAGUGUUCCGCGACUGUUGUAGUAGUGCUGUGGUACGAAUACUAUUGUGCUACUGUUGCACAAAUAGUGUAGUACCAGGCAGGGUUCCCAUAUCAGUUUGCUUCAGAUGAAAGUGAGUGGACGCCAAAAGUGAAUAGUUUACUAAAGUGAGGACAAGUCACUCAAAAGCAGUAAAAUGUGGAGGGCAGUGGUCAUUCUUGUUUGUGUAUACUGCCGAGUCCCGAGUAUGUGCACAGUAUGACGUCAUGCGUUUAUUGUCGCCAAUUACACAUCGGUGAGCGCUCCCUUCGUGCUGUGCGAUAAUAAACGGGGCUGUCUUCUUACAGAAAAUGGCCAAAUAUGUGAUUGUUUCGAAGUGAAGGAGAAAUUUUGAAACCCCCCCCCCCAAUUACGUCACAUAAGUUGGCAGGUGAAUGCCGGGCUCGGGAAGAAGCGACCGAGCGAGAGCUCUGUCUCCUGGUCGCCCCCUCAUCCCAUCUCUGCUGCUAGCUCGUCGGUUUCCCCUUAGCUUUAGCUUAGCCUAGCGACCUGCUAGCCGUCAGCAUCAUGUCGCAGGCGCUUUCAGAGGAGGAGUUUCACCGUAUGCAGGCUCAGCUACUGGAGUUGAGGACACACAACUAUCAGCUGUCCGAUGAGCUGAGGAAGAACUCCGCUGAGCUGACCAACUUGCGUCAGAAAAAUGUGGUGUUGGAAAGAGAUUUUGUCAAAGCACAGAAAGCUUUGAAUAAGAGCAAAAAAGCCCAGGAAGUUGAAGCGCUACUGAGCGAGAAUGAGAUGCUUCAGGGGAAACUUCACAGUCAGGAAGAAGACUUUCGACUGCAGAACAGCACGCUCAUGGCCGAACUUUCCAAGUUGUGUAUGCAAAUCGAGCAGCUGGAACAGGAAAACCGGCAUCUCAAGGCAGAGGGCGGGGACGCAGAUUCCCGGCCGAGCCCCAGCGCCACGUCCAGUCCUGCUGAUGAAGCGCUGCUGCGCCUCCAGGCUGAGAACGCCACGCUGCUGAAGAAAGUGCGAGCUCUUCAGGAGCAUUGUCAUGGCGAGCAGCCGAGAUCUGCGCUUUCUCACGGCGACCAAAAUGCUACCUCACAGCCAGACCGGUCAGCGAGCGCCAACGGCGUGUCUGAUAUCGAUGGCAAAGGGGAGGAGCCUGCAACAGAAGCGGGCGGUGUGAGCGGGCAGCAGAACGAAGCUCAGCUGGAACAAACACAGUUACAUGGCCUGUCAGAGAAGAGCGUAGAGGAGAUUGUAGCUAAGCACUCAGCGCUAGGCUGGUCGGCUGCACUGUGUCCAAUAACUCACUGCUUUGGAGCAGAGCUGGAGGUCGCCCUGAACACCCAGACCGAGGAGAAGAGGCUGCUGAGGGAGCAACUGCGCCACCUGGAGGUGACCAAACAGGCCGAACUCUCCAAACUGCAGGAUGAAUUGUCAAAGCUGUCGGACAAGUUAAGGAAGAAACAGGAGAGUUUCCAGCGUCUUCAGGCGGAGAAGGAGGUUCUGUACAAUGACAGCAGGACAAAGAUUGAGGAGAUCAACCAGAGGAAAGAGGAGGAGCUCAAGUUGAUGAACACGCGAAUGCAGAAGCUUCAGUCGGACUUGGCGGCGGCCAAUCAGGUGACAACAGAGUUGAGAGAGAAGUUUCAAUCCAGCGACAAAGAACACCAGCUGGCUGUGAACGCUCUCAAAGAUCAGGUAGCAAGUCAGAGCGCGGUGAGUCAGGAGCAGGUGGACAACAUCCUGCAGGAGAACGAUGCUCUGAGAACUAACUUAGCUGCUCUAGAACAGAUUCAGACGAGCAAGAUGCAGGAGUUCAAUUUGCUGCGCGAGCAGCAGGAGGUGCAGGCGGCCGAACUGCAGCAGAGUCGAGCGGAGCAAGAGAAGCUUCUGGCCCAGAGGGAUGACCUGGACUCACAGCUGCAGGAGUCAAGUUUUGCAAACCGGAAGUUGCUGGAGCAAUUAACGGAAGAAGGACAAGAAAAGGAAAAGCUGCUGAGGGAGCUGGAAGAGAGCAAGAAGACGGCAGAGAAAAGGAAGGCCAUGUUGGACACUAUGGCCAUUCAGCUAAACCAGGAGACGUCCAACCACAAGGAGGCGCUGUCGGACCUCAAACUACAGCACGAGAAGGAGGUCCUUGGCGUGAGGGCGCGCUAUGAGAAGGAACUGCGAGGUCUUCACGAGGAGAAAAAUCGCUCCGAGGAGGACAUCCGGCAACAGCUCCGAGACGAGAAGGCUCGGAGCAAAGAGCUGGAGAGUCUUCAGGCCAAAGUGCAAGAACUUCACAGUCAGCUGCAGUCCAUGGAAGAAACCAAAGGAUGGUUUGAACGACGGCUCAACGAGGCCCAGGAAAACACAGACAAGUUGACGCUGGACCAUCAGGAAGCGCUCAAAACUCUCCAGGACCAACACAUAUUUGAGCUACAGGCGAAGCAGGCCGAGGCGGAAGCGGUCCACGGGCAGGUGUUAGAAGUCCAGCAUCAGCGAGAUGAACACUACUGCGCCAUCGUCAAACUCAAGCAGGAGAUCAAAGACACAGUGGAUGGACAGCGGAUUUUGGAGAAGAAAGGAAGUGCAGCGCUGAAGGACUUAAAGAGACAGUUGCAGCUGGAAAGGAAGCGAGCAGACAAACUGCAAGAGAGACUUCAAGAAAUCCUAACCAACAGCAAGAGCAGAACAGGAUUGGAGGAGCUGGUCUUGUCUGAGAUCAACAGUCCCAGUCGCACUCAGCAGACGGGAGACUCGUCCUCGGUCUCGUCCUUCUCUUACCGAGACAUGAUGAAGGAGAGCCAGAGCGGCGGUCAGAACAAGUCGGGAGGAGGAAGUCCUCAGUGUCAGCGUGCCGCCGAGCUGUCCGACGACGAGCUGGGCGAACUGUUCCAGAGGCUCGCCGAGGUCCAGCAGGAGAAGUGGAUGCUGGAGGAGAAGGUCAAACAUUUGGAGGUGAGCUGCUCGUCCAUGGCAGAGGACAUCUGCAGGAAGAGCGCCAUCAUCGAGACUUACGUCAUGGACAGCCGCAUAGACGUUUCAGGCGGCGCGGCGGGCGGUCACGGAGCGGCUCAGGUUGACCGAGGAGGACUGGGGUCCGUCUUGAGGGACCUGGUCAAAUCCGGGGACGAGAACCUGCGCGAGAUGAACAAGAAGCUGCAGAACAUGCUGGAGGAGCAGCUGACCAAGAACAUGCACCUUCAUAAGGAUAUGGAGGUUUUGUCCCAGGAAUUAGUCCGUCUCAGUAAAGAACCAGCUCCUGAUGGUAAUUCGGCUGGCUCCGGUUGAGACUACUUCCCGAGUCAUCUGUCCAUUGCCCCAAAUAUCAUAUUCACCUCAGAUGGAAGACCAGGUCAGACGAGCACCCGCGACUGAUGUCUUGCGGGCCUCGAGCGUUAUUUUAGCCGGUGAUUCCCAACCAGUGUGUGCCGAGGCACAUUCACGAGAGCUCAUCAAUUAAUUGAUCAGAAAAUGAUUAAUUUUUCACAAAUACUCCCAUCGUUGAUCAUCUAUCUAUGCUCGUGACUAGUGACAGACAAAACAAAUAAAUAAUCUUCGAUUAAGAUGGCAGAAAGUAUCUCAUGGACAUGUGUCGCCACUUUUUGGGACGUUUUUGUUGGGUGGUGUGCCGUGAGAUUUUUUUUUUGAAACUCCAAAUAUGUGCCCUGGCUCAAUAAAGGUUGGGAAUCACUGAUUUAGGCUGUUUGGGCUAUGAUUAAAUGCUGGAAUGUCUCCAUCCAUCCAUCCAUCCAUCCAAAGCAUGCAGGGAACAGAAAUGUUUAGCCUAUCGUUGUUUCUUAAUGAAUGUACCGUCAUUGAAUCAUCCCAAAAAGUCACAUGAUUCGGUUCCACUGGACCCUGGCUACAACCCGACGACCUCCAUUGCAAAGAAUCACUUGCUUCCAUUGUACAGACCCCCUCCCACUCGCCCCCCUACAGUGAAAGAAAGAAUCCCCGUUUGAGGUGUCUUGUGUCUCCGGUCCUAUCACUUCAGGCCUUCACGCUAUGUCGGCUUGUGUCCACGCGCUGGCCGAGGAGCAGGAGCUCCGACAUUACAUUACAAUCAAUGUCUUUUGCUUUGUGGCUGCAACUCUCUGCCAGAGCAUGUGUUGCACUUUCUUUACUCCUAAUCAAAAGCUUAUAAUGAAUGUGAGUGAGAUAUGAAUAUAUAUGAAAAAGAACAGUUUUUCUGGUUAUUUUUAUCCUUUCGUUAUCAUACGUCUUUGUUUUGAAACUGUUCGACAUCACGCCUGUAAAUGGAAUUGUCUUAAUUGUUGUCAGGCUCAGUCUAUGUCCUGCUUACCGUUUCAGAUCUUAUUUAUAAAAGAAAACGAGUGUUUGCCAUCACUCUACACUACAUGGUCCUUGACUAUUUCCUGGACUGUCACCUCCCCAAUGGCUUCGGUUUUUGUUUCUGACGUGUUCCUGGAGGGGGGGUCCAGGGAUCUAUCUCCGCCCUGGGCCUCGGAAAGAAAGUCAUCUGAAAUGAAAUAGGAAAGAGAUGAUUUCUAUCACAAAGCAAAAUAAAGUGAGUGAAAAAUCA
Hippocampus comes (tiger tail seahorse) is the source of this 4588-nucleotide RNA transcript. It is a transcript of the gene named GRIP1 associated protein 1, with no coding region annotated. The record is from RefSeq and is a predicted model, not a curated record. The transcript is spliced from 30 exons. Lineage: Eukaryota; Metazoa; Chordata; Actinopteri; Syngnathiformes; Syngnathidae.